This 429-nucleotide ribosomal RNA is filed under the name Actinomycetes bacterium. RNAcentral describes it as "Actinobacteria bacterium partial 16S ribosomal RNA". It matches the Rfam family "Bacterial small subunit ribosomal RNA", at positions 355 to 776 of the family's 1533-position model. The record is from RNAcentral. Lineage: Bacteria; Bacillati; Actinomycetota; Actinomycetes.
UAGGGAAUCUUCCGCAAUGGGCGAAAGCCUGACGGAGCAACGCCGCGUGAGUGAUGAAGGUCUUCGGAUCGUAAAACUCUGUUAUUAGGGAAGAACAAAUGUGUAAGUAACUAUGCACGUCUUGACGGUACCUAAUCAGAAAGCCACGGCUAACUACGUGCCAGCAGCCGCGGUAAUACGUAGGUGGCAAGCGUUAUCCGGAAUUAUUGGGCGUAAAGCGCGCGUAGGCGGUUUUUUAAGUCUGAUGUGAAAGCCCACGGCUCAACCGUGGAGGGUCAUUGGAAACUGGAAAACUUGAGUGCAGAAGAGGAAAGUGGAAAUCCAUGUGUAGCGGUGAAAUGCGCAGAGAUAUGGAGGAACACCAGUGGCGAAGGCGACUUUCUGGUCUGUAACUGACGCUGAUGUGCGAAAGCGUGGGGAUCAAACAGG